This is a long non-coding RNA of Sapajus apella (tufted capuchin), 349 nucleotides long. RefSeq lists it as uncharacterized. The transcript is spliced from 2 exons. Lineage: Eukaryota; Metazoa; Chordata; Mammalia; Primates; Cebidae. The record is from RefSeq and is a predicted model, not a curated record.
UUUUUUUUUUUUUUUGUCAUAUGUUCAAUACCUGCUAAACCUGUGGCAUGUACAGAGGACUGGCUUGGAGUAAGAGAUAAGUGUUUCUGUUUUUCUGAUGAUACCAGAAAUUGGACAGCCAGUAAAAUGUUUUGCAGUUCACAGAAAUCAGAACUUGCUCAGAUUGAUACACAAAAAGAUAUGGAAUUUUUGAAGAGGUUCACAGGAACUGAUACGUACUGGAUUGGACUAAGCAGGAAACCAGGAGAUUCUUGGAAAUGGACAAAUGGCACCAUAUUCAAUAAUUGAUGAGUUUCCAGUAUAUUAGGAAUGUUCUUAUUCUGAUGUUGUAUAAAAAUUUCUAAAUCAU